This 21-nucleotide microRNA is filed under the name Macaca mulatta (Rhesus monkey). RNAcentral describes it as "mml-miR-518d-3p". Its record names the gene mml-miR-518d-3p. Lineage: Eukaryota; Metazoa; Chordata; Mammalia; Primates; Cercopithecidae. The record is from miRBase by way of RNAcentral.
GAAGCGCUUCUCUUUAGAGUG